UUUGUCUGUCAAAUCUUUUACUUACCAGUAGGUGUAACCAAUAUAUUGAAGUGGUUUGGGUGUGUUAGUAAAAAAAAGACUAUGCAGUAGACCUACUGUAUAUCAUGUUGUUUCCUGAAACUCAAGUCGCUCAUUGUGAACAGACAGGUAACAUCAGACUGGUCAAAUGGCGUCGAUGGAGGCUGACGUUCAGGGGAAUGAUGCGGGCCGCUCAAACUUCUGCUUCCGCAAGAAAACCUUUGCGUGUCUGUGCGUGGCCACACUUUUUACAUUUAUUGGAGUCUGUCUAACUUACCUCCGCGAUGAACACAAGCCAAUUCCGUUGUUUCGUGCCCCUAAACGGGCAGUGACGCUUUUAAUAUGGGCGCAUCCUUUCGGAAACCGAGAUAUUCCGGACUGUUCAGCGCUGUAUAAGAUCGAUGGGUGCCGGAUCACCGAUGACAGGAGCGAGUACGCGCGAGCUGAUGCUGUGGUUUUUCACCACCGGGAGAUUGGCGCCGGCAGCGUCCAACUGCCAUCGGAACCACGGCCAAGCGCGCAAAAGUGGAUCUGGAUGAACUUCGAGUCGCCCUCGCACUCACCCAGACUAGGCAGCUUUGAGGGGGUUUUUAACCUCACGAUGAGCUACCGGAAGGAUUCAAGCAUUUUCAUCCCGUCCGGCAGCGUCAUUCCCGUCGGGCGCGAGGUAACAGGUGUCGCGCAGCCGCUCAGCACUCCGUCGGACUCAGAACUCUCCAGGCCCCACUUCGUGGCCUGGGUCGUCAGCAACUGGUCGCAGAACCAGGCACGAGUGAUCCUGUACAACAAGCUGCGCCAGUACAUCGACGUGGACGUGUUCGGGCACGGACAUCGCCCGUUACCUCCGGAGAGCGGCAACAACGUGGUGCAGCUGGUCCGACAGUACCUUUUCUACCUGGCCAUGGAGAACUCGCAGCACACGGAUUACAUGACGGAGAAGCUGUGGAACUCGAUAGAGGCCGGUGCCGUCCCGGUGGUCCUGGGUCCGUCCAGGAAGAACUAUGAGCGCUUUCUGCCCCCCGAAGCUUUUAUCCACGUAGAUGACUUCCCCACGGUGGAAGAACUGGCUCGGUACCUGCAGACGCUGAGGGUCAAUCCGCAUCGGCUGAAGAAGCACCUGGACUGGAGAAAGGGCUACAGCAUGCAUCGUGUUGCACCCUGGAGCGAGCACUACUGCACGGCCUGCAAGGUGGUGAGGAGCAGCUUGGGUAAGACGGACGUGGUCCAAAACCUGGGCGAGUGGUACAAGUCGUGACAACGAGAUCACCUCUAGCACCUGAACUAAUAUGCAGGAAAAGAGGAACGAACACCAAGCUUCGGGGAAAGAUGCAUUCGAUUUUACAGCCUUGGGUCUGGUGGGGAGUCAGAUAGGAGGGAGCCAGAAACCAGGUUGUAACAGACAGACACAUAUCAUAAACUUUAGUCACUCAAACAGAACAUCCAUCCAUUUUCUAUACCGCUUAAUCCCAUAUGGAGGUUGCGGGGGUGCUGGAGCCUAUUCCAGCUGGCUAUGGGCGAGAGGCAGGGUACACCCUGGACGGGUCACCAGCCCAUCGCAGGGCCUAACAGAACAUCAGAUGUUUAAACUUGAUGUAUGAAAGGACACAAGAGAUCAUUUGUUUGUUUGAGAAUGGUAAGUAUUGAUGACUGAUAAAGCACAAAGACACAAUUUUUCCCAUCACAGUCUGUUUUAACAACACUGUCUCACAUCUUUCCUGUCAUUCAUCCAAACUUUCCACACAGCACUGAUAUUAAACCUUCUUACAUGCCAUAAUUAUGUUGUCCCAGUUAUAUUAAUUGAGUUACAAUAACCCUGAGUAAAUGAACCUGACUUGUGUGGCCCCUCCUUGUUAUAACUUUUGGGCCGGUCUGUGACGAGUAAAUUAUGCCAUGUCUAUAUAGUAUAGCAAACACAUCAAGGACACAUCAGCAGUGACAAACAAAAGAACCUUUUUCAAGCAGUUGGUCAAAUAGCAGCUGAAAGUGAUGCCAGAAUAAAAAAGAUAGUUUUACCUGCAGUAUUUGUACUUUUCCCAGGGGUGUAAGUUUUUAUCAUUUGUAGUGAAUUGUUCAUUUAAAAUGACCUUCAUUAAAGUAGUUUGUUAAGUGGUUUAAAUCAUAUUAUAACCAGUACAGCAAUGAAGAUGUUGGGAAUAUUUCAAUGCAAACAUUGUUAUAUUACUGUUUGUUUGUAUUAUUGUUACACCCUGAGGAGGAGCGUGACUCUGGCUCUUUGUGGGUGGUCGUCGCUCAGGGCUGGGGAUGGCCACCAGCGACUCCUCUAGUGGGAACUUCACUUGGCACAGGAUUCCCCAUUGAACACAGCAAAUCCAAAAAACUCCAGCGUAGGUACAGACGGGGACAAGGCAGAGGCACGGGCAAACAACAGGCAGAAAACUGGUACAUGAACAAACUUACUGGUAAACGCUGGAGAGUUGUCACGGGCGUAUGAACAAACAAUCUGGCGGGGAACUAAGGUAAGUACUGGUGACUAUAUGCACAGGCUGAUUACUAACAAGGAACAGGUGGUGGAACACAUGACAUACUGGCAGGAACAAAACAGGAAAUGUCAAAAUAAAACAGGAAAUGGCAACAACAUAAGUGACACACAAGUUAAACAUGACAACAUGGGUCAGCUAUUUUUAGCUAUGUUUUAAAUGUUUCCGCUACUUUCUGCAAUUCUUCAGGAAUACAUUCCGCAUUGCCGCAUCGCUGUGUAUUUUCCUAUGAAAAUGCUCUAUCUAUUUUUUUUAUUAGUAUUAUUGUUCUUCCAUACAUUUUACAGUACUACCCACUGCACCACUGUGAAAGAAUUCAAAUAUAAAAAUAUUCAGCUUAAUCAAAAUUCAAAUCAAAAUUCAUCAGAAUUUCCCCAUUGAAAUGAAUGGAAAAAUGUUUUCAAAUACUCUUCAGCUUUGUCUUCUUUCAGCUUUAACUACUUGAGCAUAUUCUAAACACCGUUUAAGGUUUUAUCAGAUAUUAAACUAUUAAUCUUCCAUUCAGCUUUUUCAUAUCUUAAAUACUUUAGGAUCUAUAGCAGUUCAAAUAUUGUGUGGUUUUUGGCAAAUUUUCAGCGUUUCCAUUAGUGUGUAGUGCGUGAGCUAGAGUGCGUGAUGUCACAGCUAGAGUGCGAGGACUCGUUUUUUUAAGUCAGAAUGUCACUCUUUUACUUGUCAGAACAGCAACAAUUUUGAUUCUGUCAAAAUACUUUUUCACUUGUUCGUAGUCAUACUCGUCUUCUUUCUAAUGAUGUGUCUGGUUAAGCCAUCUGACCUAUACUUUAGUCUGUAGAUGCCUCAAGGUGCAGACUUCCAGAAUUCCUCCCAAAGACUCUAAUGCAUUUGACUUUUUCUGAGAAACGCAGAAGUCCUACAUAUUUAAAAGAACAAAAUGAACCUGAUUUUUUCGUCUUUCGUUUCCAUGGCAACGAUGCAGCUGCAGUAUUGACAGGACAAACUCUUGAUGCUCAGUGUAGAAACUCUAUGCAUCUUACUGAUCAGCUCAUUAAAGUGUUUAAUUGUUUAGUAAUUAUUCACACACUUCCCCUGAAUCCUUUCAAAAUAAAAGCACAAUCCAGAAUUUUAGCUUUAUUUGCACUAUCUUUGCUUUUGAAAUGGUAAUUGUGACUAGUUAAUAAAACUAUUUUACAGUUUUGCUGUUAAGUACACACAUCUCUUCCAAAUCCUUUCAAAAUAAAAGCACCAAACCAAAACCUUAACUUUAAAAGUGCCAUUUCUGCUUUUGAAUGGUUAAUUGUGACUAGGUAAUGAGUCUCACAGUUCCAAACUCUCAAGAUGCUCUACAUGCCACUUCUUUAUUAUUUUGUUGUUACUUCCGGUUGUGACCAGUCCCGUUUAGUUUCUGCUUUAUCUUCCAAUCACAUGAUUUAACCCACCUGUGUGUAAUCAGUUAUUAUAUUCUGUAUAUGUAGACCAGUACUCACCUUCAGUCCUUUGUCAGAUUGUUGCAUGCACUCACCACUUUUUAUACUAGACCAUGUUUCGUGUAUUGACCUUGUGCCUGUUCCUGUCUUGACCGCCUACCUAGUCCAUCUAUUUUUUACAGUUUUGAUCAGAAUGUAUUUGCUUAAUGAUAAUAACCAGAAGGGCCUUCAUGCAGAGACUAAAGGGUUAAUGUUUUUUUCUUUCAUCCCUGCCCUGUGUUUGUUUAGGGGAGAAAUGCUCAAAUUAAAACUGAGUCAUCUAUUAACAUUUUUAGUUGGUGAGCUUUGCAGCGGUGGGUCAUAUCUAUAAAAUAAAACAUUCAAGUUAAACCUUUUCAAAGUUUUGCUGCUGCAUGACUAAUUUCCAAGAGGAAUGUUUAUUCACUUGUCUAAUUAAAUACGCACAGUUUGCAGAUUCCAGCGCCACUUACAGCCGAGCAGGACGCCACUCAUUAUGUGCUUGUGGAGGGAGACAUCUAGUGGCGAACGGCUUCGUUUGCGUUUUAUACAAGGAUGCAGGGAGGACCGCCAGGCCUCCAGGUGUAGUUUCACCCGGAUCAACGCCAAAAAAACUGCUUUCGUUAUUCAGAUCACGUGAUCUGAGGGAUUGGUUACUUAUUAUCUCCACUGAGCUUAUUAGCUGAACCAUUAAAUAUGACGUGUGAGUUGCUUAUUCUCUAAUUUGCAUCUAUCAUAAAAUAAUAUAUGGCCCUCCGACUGAAUGACUGUGGCAAAUGUGUGUUUUUUAAAACUGACUUCCUCCAGUGGACACAUGUCCAGAGCCAAGGUGUUUACCCACCUACAGCUGGCAGGCCUCACAAAAGCCCCACUGACGAUAGAAGCAACACAG
Betta splendens (Siamese fighting fish) is the source of this 4811-nucleotide RNA transcript. It is a transcript of the gene named alpha-(1,3)-fucosyltransferase 4-like, with no coding region annotated. The record is from RefSeq and is a predicted model, not a curated record. NCBI's taxonomy places the organism in Eukaryota, Metazoa, Chordata, Actinopteri, Anabantiformes, Osphronemidae. The transcript has 3 exons.